UGAGCAAUCUGCCCUUCUCAUCGGAAUAAGCGUUGGAAACGACGUCUAAUGCCGAAUACGACCUCCUUUCGCAUGAUCGGAGGUGGAAAGCUCCGGCGGAGAAGGAUGAGCUCGCGGCCUAUCAGCUUGUUGGUGGGGUAAUGGCCUACCAAGGCGACGACGGGUAGCCGGCCUGAGAGGGCGACCGGCCACACUGGGACUGAGACACGGCCCAGACCUCCUACGGGAGGCAGCG
RNAcentral lists this ribosomal RNA (235 nucleotides) under uncultured bacterium. RNAcentral's name for it is "partial 16S ribosomal RNA". It matches the Rfam family "Bacterial small subunit ribosomal RNA", at positions 118 to 353 of the family's 1533-position model. The record is from RNAcentral.